UUCCGCAAUCGCCACCCCUGUCCACCUGUUUCAGCUAUUCCACUGCUCUCCUCAAACCCCCUUCCUCAAAAUCUGCAAUUUUCCUCUGCUCUUCCUUCAUAUAACUAUUUAGCUAAUGAUACUCUGACCUACUGCAUGUGUAAUAUUACUCCCCCUCCCACCUGUUCCAACCCUGCACUGCCUUGUGUCCACAGUGUGCAGGUUAUUAAUCAACUGCUACGUGUUCACAGUGUGCAAGUUAUUAAUCAACUGCUACGUGUUCACAGUGUGCAAGUUAUUAAUCAACUGCUACGUGUUCACAGUGUGCAAGUUAUUAAUCAACUGCUAUGUGUUCACAGUGUGCAGGUUAUUAAUCAACUGCUACGUGUUCACAGUGUGCAGGUUAUUAAUCAACUGCUACGUGUUCACAGUGUGCAGGUUAUUAAUCAACUGCUACGUGUUCA
Molecule: long non-coding RNA, 443 nt
Organism: Oncorhynchus tshawytscha (Chinook salmon)
Lineage: Eukaryota; Metazoa; Chordata; Actinopteri; Salmoniformes; Salmonidae
Source: Ensembl